This 933-nucleotide ribosomal RNA is filed under the name Cortinarius marmoratus. RNAcentral's name for it is "eukaryotic LSU rRNA". It matches the Rfam family "Eukaryotic large subunit ribosomal RNA", at positions 40 to 960 of the family's 3401-position model. The record is from RNAcentral. Lineage: Eukaryota; Fungi; Basidiomycota; Agaricomycetes; Agaricales; Cortinariaceae.
AUAUCAAUAAGCGGAGGAAAAGAAACUAACAAGGAUUCCCCUAGUAACUGCGAGUGAAGCGGGAAAAGCUCAAAUUUAAAAUCUGUCAGUCUUUGGCUGUCCGAGUUGUAAUCUAGAGAAGCGUUAUCCGCGCUGGACCGUGUACAAGUCUCCUGGAAUGGAGCGUCAUAGAGGGUGAGAAUCCCGUCUUUGACACGGACUGCCAGGGCUUUGUGAUGCGCUCUCAAAGAGUCGAGUUGUUUGGGAAUGCAGCUCAAAAUGGGUGGUAAAUUCCAUCUAAAGCUAAAUAUUGGCGAGAGACCGAUAGCGAACAAGUACCGUGAGGGAAAGAUGAAAAGAACUUUGGAAAGAGAGUUAAACAGUACGUGAAAUUGCUGAAAGGGAAACGCUUGAAGUCAGUCGCGUUGUCCAGGGAUCAGCCUUGCUUUUGCUUGGUGUACUCUCUGGUUGACGGGUCAGCAUCAAUUUUGACUAUUGGAAAAAGAUUGAGGGAAUGUGGCAUCCUUGGAUGUGUUAUAGCCCUUGGUUGCAUACAAUAGUUGGGAUUGAGGAACUCAGCACGCCGAAAGGCCGGGUUUUAACCACGUACGUGCUUAGGAUGCUGGCAUAAUGGCUUUAAUCGACCCGUCUUGAAACACGGACCAAGGAGUCUAACAUGCCUGCGAGUGUUUGGGUGGAAAACCCGAGCGCGUAAUGAAAGUGAAAGUUGAGAUCCUUGUCAUGGGGAGCAUCGACGCCCGGACCAGACCUUUUGUGACGGUUCCGCGGUAGAGCAUGUAUGUUGGGACCCGAAAGAUGGUGAACUAUGCCUGAAUAGGGUGAAGCCAGAGGAAACUCUGGUGGAGGCUCGUAGCGAUUCUGACGUGCAAAUCGAUCGUCAAAUUUGGGUAUAGGGGCGAAAGACUAAUCGAACCAUCUAGUAGCUGGUUCCUG